UUUAUGUUUUUUUUGAAUAUAUGUUUAACAUUUUAAAAUAAAUGAUUUUUUUUUUUUUUUUUUUUUUUUUUUUUAAAUAACAUACUUUUAACGAAAAAAAAAAAAAUAAAAUGAAUAAAAAAUCGAAGAAACAUACAAGUGUAUGGAUACAAAACAAAAUUGUAACAUACGGACACUUGUAUAUAUAAAAAAAUGCAGUAUACGGAUGCUUAAGCACAUAAAAAGUCUAACAUACAGACAUAAAUGAGGGGGGAGGGGGGAAAAAAUUACUCUUUUUUUUUUCAGCUUAAUUAUGUUCCAUUUCCUUUUUGAAAAAUGUAACUUCUUUUUAUUAAUUAUAUUUACUAAAAUUAAUUAUUUGAUAUUUGGUAUAUGAUUUUUUUUAUUUUUUAUUUUUAUGUUUUGUUCAAUAGUAAACGUAUAUGUAUAAGUACACGUAUACGUAUACGGAUAUAUUAACAUUCGAUGGCUUGUUUCAUUUUGUUACUUAAUUUUAUUUAAAUUUUUUUUUUUUUAUUUAUUUAUUUAUUUUUUUAUUUAUUUUUUUUUUUUGUUAAACGCUAUUAAAGCUAAAAAUGUACACACUUGUUUUCCCUUUUCUAAUAACAAUAUUGACACAUUAUUCAACUACCUAUUCAAUUUGAUUAAGUUCUUUUCUUUACACAUGUAUAUGUAUUUGUGUGUAUGUAUAUAUAUAUAUAUAUAUAUUUUUUUUUACGCUCUUAGAGCUAUUCUAAUGUAAAUAAAGUUGGCAUACAUCCAAAAAAAAAAAAAAAAAAAAAAAAAAAUGGACAGCAAUUCUAUUGUACAAAAAAGCAUAUUAAAAACUACAAAUGGUUAGUAUAGAAUAAAAAAAAAAAAAGGGAAAUAUGUACUAUGCUUCUAUUAUUAACAUUUUAACAUUUUAACAUUUUAACAUUUUAACAUAUAUGUACAUAUGUGCAACUAUACCUAACAAGAGUCACAAUUAUUAUUUUUUUUUUUUUUUUUACCUUUUUAUAGAUAAACAAGAUGGUAAAUCAUCAAGUAGUUAUACAAAAAACUUUUAUAAAAGUUUAAAUAACUACGUACGAGAAUUUGAUAGUAUUGAAAAAAAAGAAAAUAAGAAUGAUGAAUUAAUUAAUGAAGUGUACGACAAACAGAACACACCAACAGUUCAACUAUUUAAUACAAGUUCUAAAGGUGGAAAUCGUUCAAGAUUGUUCGACAACCAGUGGAAAAAGUACAAUUAUAAUUAUAAAAAUGGAAACGAAAGAAUAAACUAUGAUUAUAUAAAUGCCACCAAUGAAUACUAUAAACCAACAAACGUUGAAGAGAAAGUAACAAACACAGGAAUAACUAAUAAAACCUUUUUUUCAGAUAAUAAUGUGUUGCAAUAUGAAGAUAGCAUGAAAAAAUGGUCCGAUAAAAGUAGAUACCUAUACUUCGUUGAAAAACAAAAAGAGGAGCGCGGUAGCAAGAAAGUUAGUAAAUUUAAAAAUAUAAAUUUGAAUAAUGCCCUUAUAAAAGAUAAAUACUUACAAGCCUCUUAUAAACAUGACCCUACUAGUGAACAAACAAAAAUUGAAAAUUUAGUUUUAGAUGUCUUAAAUAACAAUUUUGAUGAUGAUAUAGAAUCUAUCAAAGGUGAAAGGUGAAUAUAUUGGUUUUUUUUUAUGUGGCGUCAAAAAGGGUGUUGUUUGAAUAAUAGUACAGUACGACAUGUUUACAUGUGCUUACCUAUUUUUUUUUUUUUUUUUUUUAUUUACGUAGAACCCUAACCGAAGAUCGCCUAGAGACAUCUGGUGUUGUAAUAAUAAAAAAAUAAAUAAAAAUGAUUAAAAAAAAAAA
Molecule: long non-coding RNA, 1830 nt
Organism: Piliocolobus tephrosceles (Ugandan red Colobus)
Lineage: Eukaryota; Metazoa; Chordata; Mammalia; Primates; Cercopithecidae
Source: Ensembl